Molecule: ribosomal RNA, 467 nt
Filed under: uncultured bacterium
Lineage: Bacteria
Description: partial 16S ribosomal RNA
Rfam family: Bacterial small subunit ribosomal RNA
Source: RNAcentral
ACGAACGCUGGCGGCGUGCUUAACACAUGCAAGUCGCACGGAAAGGCCCUGCUUUUGUGGGGUGCUCGAGUGGCGAACGGGUGAGUAACACGUGAGUAACCUGCCCUUGACUUUGGGAUAACUUCAGGAAACUGGGGCUAAUACCGGAUAGGAGCUCCUGCUGCAUGGUGGGGGUUAGAAAGUUUCGGCGGUUGGGGAUGGACUCGCGGCUUAUCAGCUUGUUGGUGGGGUAGUGGCUUACCAAGGCUUUGACGGGUAGCCGGCCUGAGAGGGUGACCGGCCACAUUGGGACUGAGAUACGGCCCAGACUCCUACGGGAGGCAGCAGUGGGGAAUAUUGCACAAUGGGCGGAAGCCUGAUGCAGCAACGCCGCGUGCGGGAUGACGGCCUUCGGGUUGUAAACCGCUUUCGCCUGUGACGAAGCGUGAGUGACGGUAAUGGGUAAAGAAGCACCGGCUAACUACGUG